This is a long non-coding RNA of Heterocephalus glaber (naked mole-rat), 2274 nucleotides long. RefSeq lists it as uncharacterized. The record is from RefSeq and is a predicted model, not a curated record. Lineage: Eukaryota; Metazoa; Chordata; Mammalia; Rodentia; Bathyergidae.
GGCACGCGGCGGCGAAGCUCUCCGAGCCGAGGCCCUGGCGGCCACCCGGCGCCAGGCUCCGGUUUCCGCUGCCACCUUCUCGGGUUCUCGCCCAGCCGGCCUGGGGAGGAGCCGGGUGCACCCCGCGGCGGGCAGCGCUCGAGAAGGGGCUGACAGGAAGGUCUCCCUGCCAGCGGAGCGUUCUCCGGACUCUCCAUCCGGAGCCAGUGAGGGGCGGCGGGGUCUCCCAGCCCCCUUUGCCUCCAGGCCCCGCUUCCACCUCUGUCGAUGGCCUGGCGGGCUCGGGGCACAGGGUGGAGGCAGCUGUGCUCUCCCCGUUCAGAUGAGGCCCAUGACUUCCCCAAGAUGACAGACUUUCGUAAGCAACACAGGGUUGCUAUGGGGAUGAAUCUACAUAAGAAGUCUACUACAAGACACAGGCACGCCCGUCCCCUAGCUUGUGUUCAAGGCCAGUACAAGCCCAGUGGAAGAGAAGAAAUUGCUCCCAGUUGAGUCAAAGCCCAGCUAUUCAAUAUUGCAGAUGUCUGUGAGAUCCGAGACGAGUUUCCCAGCCUCUGCUCUUCUGUCUGAAAACAUGUCAACAUGAUGGAGAUGAAAUGGGACAAGAGAGGCAUUGCUAAGCCUGUCUUGCACUAGGUCCUGGCGCAUCAUCCUGCAGAAGAUGGACUAUAAAGACCCCGGCCUCCUUGAAGGAGCAGCCAUCAAGGUAGAGAAGAUAAACAGAAACAUUUCCAAUGCAAUGCGGCAGAGACUCUCAGGGAGGCAGGAAUGAUGCAUGCAGGAGCAGCCAAGAGACAUCACGCCCACCUAGGCCUCUGCUCUUCUCUCUACAACCUUCCUGGGCAAUCCUGGCCUUCAUGCUAUUCCUGAUGACCCCAGGCCAGAGCCUGUGCCUCCUGAGCCCCAGAUCCACAUAUACUUCCUGGGCAUCUCUCUGUGGAAGCCUCAGACUGAACUCAUGGUUUGUCUUCACACUUACUCCUCCUUCUCCUAUACUUUCCAUAUCAAUAAAUGGCUCCAAAGUACGCCCAGCUGCCAACUCCCACAUCACCCAUGCUCAGGCAUCUGCCACCUCUCCCCCUCACUAAGUGUGUUGCUACUUACCUCUCUAAGAUCCCUCACACCUGUGCCCUCUACCACAGCUUCUCCUCACCCCCUCCCGACUAAGACCUUAUUACCCUAAAUCUAGACCAGGGCAUCCUCCCCUGCCUUCCUGCUCCAUUUCUGCAUAAUCCAGUCCAUCCCCAAAUGCCUCACUCCCCAAAGCACUAUUCUCAUGAUGCCACUCUCCUCCAAUCCAUCGGUGCCACCUGGAAUAUCCCUUUUCCUCCACUGGCCUAUAGGCUCCUUAUCUCCAUUGCCUGGGGCUCAGUGCCUGCCAGAGGCCUCAGUAGGAGUUUGUCAAGAGUACGCAUUACUGCAGUAAAGCAGAUGGUGAGCAACUCUGCUGAGAAGAGAAGAGGGUGAAGUUGGGUCCUGAGCAGUAUAGAAAAAUCUGCACCAGCUGCUGCGGUUGAAUGCUACCGGAGGUCAGCAAACAAGGAAAGGACUGCUCAGAGAGGUCAUGGUGGGAAUGUGGGCCCAAUCCAGGGGCAAGGAAAGAAGUAUACCCUCAUAGGCCUCCAGGUGGGGCGAAGAAGGGGCUUGGGGACCGCAGAUUUUUGAAAGUGGAGGAAGGAAGAAGCAGUGGGAACCUGGGUUACCAGACUUGUGAUCGUGGCUAAGUGAUGGCCAGGAUCCAAGUGCAGCCCAGAGUGCUGUCAGGAGGCCAACAGGGAAUGAAGGAGGCGGUCACUGGAGUUAAGAGGUUAACACUUGGGUGUGAAAGCUCAGAGUCUGGAGCCAAGAAUAAUUUGGUCAGCCAGUGUUAUGGUUGUGAUUCAAAAUGUCCCCCAAAAGGCUCCCUUGCUGCAUUGAAGGCUUGGUUGUUAGUUGACGGGCUUUGGGGGAAGUGAUUGGAUCAUGAGGCUGCUAACUUCAUCAAGUAGAUUAAUCCAUUGAUGAGUUCAUCAGCUGCAGGAGCUUAUGAGAAGGUGGGGCCUAAUUGGAUGAAGCAGGUCACUAGGAACAAGAGUCUUGGAAGGGUGUACCUUGUCUCCCACCCCUUCCUCCUAGACGAAGGUUUCUCCCUGCUUCCUGGCUGCCGUGAGGAGAGCUGCUCUGCUCCACCAUGCCCUGCGUGCUGAGCUGUUUCUACCUUACCUUACCCAGAGGCAAUGGUGCCGGGUGACUAUGGACUGGGACAUACAAAACUGUGAGCCAAAGUAAAUAUUU